This 81-nucleotide transfer RNA is filed under the name Klebsiella pneumoniae subsp. pneumoniae. Its description in RNAcentral is "tRNA-Met". Lineage: Bacteria; Pseudomonadati; Pseudomonadota; Gammaproteobacteria; Enterobacterales; Enterobacteriaceae. The record is from RNAcentral.
GAAGCUUUGCAGCGAACGUUCAGCCUGCUCAAGAGACUCAUAAUCGCUUGGUCGUUGGUUCAAACCCAACAGGGGCCACCA